CAGCAGUCGCCGCGGUAACACAGAGGAUGCAAGCGUUAUCCGGAAUGAUUGGGCGUAAAGCGUCUGUAGGUGGCUUUUCAAGUCCGCCGUCAAAUCCCAGGGCUCAACCCUGGACAGGCGGUGGAAACUACCAAGCUGGAGUACGGUAGGGGCAGAGGGAAUUCCACGUGUAGCGGUGAAACGCGUAGAGAUGUGGUGGAACACCAGUGGCGAAGGCGACUCUCUGGUCUGUAACUGACGCUGAGGAGCGAAAGCGUGGGGAGCGAACAGGAUUAGAUACCCCGGUAGUCCCUGUCUCUUAUAC
This 304-nucleotide ribosomal RNA is filed under the name uncultured bacterium. RNAcentral describes it as "partial 16S ribosomal RNA". It matches the Rfam family "Bacterial small subunit ribosomal RNA", at positions 509 to 807 of the family's 1533-position model. The record is from RNAcentral.